Molecule: ribosomal RNA, 274 nt
Filed under: uncultured bacterium
Lineage: Bacteria
Description: partial 16S ribosomal RNA
Rfam family: Bacterial small subunit ribosomal RNA
Source: RNAcentral
AUACGGGGGGUGCAAGCGUUAUUCGGAUUUAUUGGGCGUAAAGAGCGCGUAGGCGGCUUGGUAAGUCAGAUGUGAAAGCCCGGGGCUCAACCCCGGAAGUGCAUUUGAAACUAUCAGGCUUGAGUAUGGGAGAGGGAAGUGGAAUUCCUGGUGUAGAGGUGAAAUUCGUAGAUAUCAGGAGGAACACCGGUGGCAAAGGCGACUUCCUGGACCAAUACUGACGCUGAGGCGCGAAGGCGUGGGGAGCAAACAGGAUUAGAUACCCCAGUAGUCC